CGGGGGAGAAUUCAAYUACUAGUUAGSCAAAGUCCUUUCUAUACUGUAAUCUACAUAUAUAGACUCGCGAGAAUCUCUGAGUGUUCAGGCAUUCAAUCACUAUUAGAUUGAGAUUGGAUAGAUUUUUUAUAGAAAAAGUAAAAAAAUAUACCCCCCG
RNAcentral lists this unclassified non-coding RNA (157 nucleotides) under Senecio rhammatophyllus. RNAcentral describes it as "partial trnC-petN intergenic spacer". Lineage: Eukaryota; Viridiplantae; Streptophyta; Magnoliopsida; Asterales; Asteraceae. The record is from RNAcentral.